AAUAAAGUGCCUGAAUAAAGGAAUAUUCUGAUAGAAUAAAUAAUGUAAUUUUUUUACCUUUAUUA
RNAcentral lists this transfer RNA (65 nucleotides) under Astictopterus jama. RNAcentral describes it as "tRNA-Ile". Lineage: Eukaryota; Metazoa; Arthropoda; Insecta; Lepidoptera; Hesperiidae. The record is from RNAcentral.